GAUGAACGCUGGCGGCGUGCCUAAUACAUGCAAGUCGAGCGAACAGACGAGGAGCUUGCUCCUCUGACGUUAGCGGCGGACGGGUGAGUAACACGUGGAUAACCUACCUAUAAGACUGGGAUAACUUCGGGAAACCGGAGCUAAUACCGGAUAAUAUAUUGAACCGCAUGGUUCAAUAGUGAAAGACGGUUUUGCUGUCACUUAUAGCUGGAUCCGCGCCGCAUUAGCUAGUUGGUAAGGUAACGGCUUACCAAGGCAACGAUGCGUAGCCGACCUGAGAGGGUGCUCGGCCACACUGGAACUGAGACACGGUCCAGACUCCUACGGGAGGCAGCAGUAGGGAAUCUUCCGCAAUGGGCGAAAGCCUGACGGAGCAACGCCGCGUGAGUGAUGAAGGUCUUCGGAUCGUAAAACUCUGUUAUUAGGGAAGAACAAAUGUGUAAGUAACUAUGCACGUCUUGACGGUACCUAAUCAGAAAGCCACGGCUAACUACGUG
RNAcentral lists this ribosomal RNA (497 nucleotides) under uncultured bacterium. Its description in RNAcentral is "partial 16S ribosomal RNA". It matches the Rfam family "Bacterial small subunit ribosomal RNA", at positions 28 to 507 of the family's 1533-position model. The record is from RNAcentral.